GAACGGGUGAGUAACACGUGGGCAAUCUGCCCUUCACUCUGGGACAAGCCCUGGAAACGGGGUCUAAUACCGGAUACGAGCCUCCAAGGCAUCUUGGGGGUUGGAAAGCUCCGGCGGUGAAGGAUGAGCCCGCGGCCUAUCAGCUUGUUGGUGAGGUAAUGGCUCACCAAGGCGACGACGGGUAGCCGGCCUGAGAGGGCGACCGGCCACACUGGGACUGAGACACGGCCCAGACUCCUACGGGAGGCAGCAGUGGGGAAUAUUGCACAAUGGGCGAAAGCCUGAUGCAGCGACGCCGCGUGAGGGAUGACGGCCUUCGGGUUGUAAACCUCUUUCAGCAGGGAAGAAGCGAAAGUGACGGUACCUGCAGAAGAAGCGCCGGCUAACUACGUGCCAGCAGCCGCGGUAAUACGUAGGGCGCAAGCGUUGUCCGGAAUUAUUGGGCGUAAAGAGCUCGUAGGCGGCUUGUCACGUCGAUUGUGAAAGCCCGAGGCUUAACCUCGGGUCUGCAGUCGAUACGGGCUAGCUAGAGUGUGGUAGGGGAGAUCGGAAUUCCUGGUGUAGCGGUGAAAUGCGCAGAUAUCAGGAGGAACACCGGUGGCGAAGGCGGAUCUCUGGGCCAUUACUGACGCUGAGGAGCGAAA
Molecule: ribosomal RNA, 644 nt
Filed under: Streptomyces sp. 4234_6
Lineage: Bacteria; Bacillati; Actinomycetota; Actinomycetes; Kitasatosporales; Streptomycetaceae
Also listed under: 1 other name
Description: bacterial SSU rRNA
Rfam family: Bacterial small subunit ribosomal RNA
Source: RNAcentral